GCCCGGGUGGCGAAACCGGUAGACGCAAGGGACUUAAAAUCCCUCGGUGGCAACACCAUGUGGGUUCGAGUCCCACCCCGGGCACCA
RNAcentral lists this transfer RNA (87 nucleotides) under Gammaproteobacteria bacterium. RNAcentral's name for it is "tRNA-Leu". It matches the Rfam family "tRNA". From Rfam's summary of the family: Transfer RNA (tRNA) molecules are approximately 80 nucleotides in length. Their secondary structure includes four short double-helical elements and three loops (D, anti-codon, and T loops). Further hydrogen bonds mediate the characteristic L-shaped molecular structure. tRNAs have two regions of fundamental functional importance: the anti-codon, which is responsible for specific mRNA codon recognition, and the 3' end, to which the tRNAs corresponding amino acid is attached (by aminoacyl-tRNA synthetases). tRNAs cope with the degeneracy of the genetic code in two manners: having more than one tRNA (with a specific anti-codon) for a particular amino acid; and 'wobble' base-pairing, i.e. permitting non-standard base-pairing at the 3rd anti-codon position. The record is from RNAcentral. Lineage: Bacteria; Pseudomonadati; Pseudomonadota; Gammaproteobacteria.